Molecule: ribosomal RNA, 200 nt
Filed under: uncultured bacterium
Lineage: Bacteria
Description: partial 16S ribosomal RNA
Rfam family: Bacterial small subunit ribosomal RNA
Source: RNAcentral
AGAGUUUGAUCCUGGCUCAGAACGAACGCUGGCGGCAUGCUUAACACAUGCAAGUCGAACGCUUGUAGCAAUACAAGAGUGGCAGACGGGUGAGUAACGCGUGGGAACGUACCCUAAAGUUCGGAACAACAGUUGGAAACGACUGCUAAUACCGGAUAAGCUCGAGAGAGGAAAGGUUUACCGCUUUGGGAGCGGCCCGC